Molecule: ribosomal RNA, 930 nt
Filed under: Bacillus pumilus
Lineage: Bacteria; Bacillati; Bacillota; Bacilli; Caryophanales; Bacillaceae
Description: partial 23S ribosomal RNA
Rfam family: Bacterial large subunit ribosomal RNA
Source: RNAcentral
UGACUCUGCGCCGAAAAUGUACCGGGGCUAAACGUAUCACCGAAGCUGCGGACUGUUCUAACGAACAGUGGUAGGAGAGCGUUCUAAGUGCUGUGAAGUCAGACCGGAAGGACUGGUGGAGCGCUUAGAAGUGAGAAUGCCGGUAUGAGUAGCGAAAGACGGGUGAGAAUCCCGUCCACCGAAUGCCUAAGGUUUCCUGAGGAAGGCUCGUCCGCUCAGGGUUAGUCGGGACCUAAGCCGAGGCCGAAAGGCGUAGGCGAUGGACAACAGGUUGAUAUUCCUGUACCACCUCCUCACCAUUUGAGCAAUGGGGGGACGCAGGAGGAUAGGGUAAGCGCGGUAUUGGAUAUCCGCGUCCAAGCAGUUAGGCUGGGAAAUAGGCAAAUCCGUUUCCCGUGAAGGCUGAGCUGUGAUGGCGAGCGAAAUUUAGUAGCGAAGUUCCUGAUUCCACACUGCCAAGAAAAGCCUCUAGCGAGGUGAGAGGUGCCCGUACCGCAAACCGACACAGGUAGGCGAGGAGAGAAUCCUAAGGUGAUCGAGAGAACUCUCGUUAAGGAACUCGGCAAAAUGACCCCGUAACUUCGGGAGAAGGGGUGCUUCUUAGGGUGUUAAAGCCCCGAGAAGCCGCAGUGAAUAGGCCCAGGCGACUGUUUAGCAAAAACACAGGUCUCUGCGAAGCCGUAAGGCGAAGUAUAGGGGCUGACGCCUGCCCGGUGCUGGAAGGUUAAGAGGAGCGCUUAGCGUAAGCGAAGGUGCGAAUUGAAGCCCCAGUAAACGGCGGCCGUAACUAUAACGGUCCUAAGGUAGCGAAAUUCCUUGUCGGGUAAGUUCCGACCCGCACGAAAGGCGCAACGAUCUGGGCACUGUCUCAACGAGAGACUCGGUGAAAUUAUAGUACCUGUGAAGAUGCAGGUUACCCGCGACAGGACG